GGGGAAGUAGCUCAAUGGUAGAGCAAAAAAAUUGUCCGAAUGUCUAGGAUAUUAGUGUUUCAUGCGAAACAUGGUUCGAGGUUCGAUUCCUCGCUUCUCCA
Daucus carota subsp. sativus is the source of this 101-nucleotide non-coding RNA. Lineage: Eukaryota; Viridiplantae; Streptophyta; Magnoliopsida; Apiales; Apiaceae. The record is from Rfam.